UUGGAGGGCAAGUCUGGUGCCAGCAGCCGCGGUAAUUCCAGCUCCAAUAGCGUAUAUUAAAGUUGUUGCAGUUAAAAAGCUCGUAGUUGAACUUCGGGAUCAAAUAAUCGGUCGUGCCUCCGGUACGUACUGGUUUUAUUGGUUCCUCCCUUCUGACGAACCAUGAUGUCAUUAAUUUGAUGUGGUGGAGAAUCAGGACUGUUACCUUGAAAAAAUUAGAGUGUUUAAAGCAGGCUAACGCUUGAAUACAUUAGCAUGGAAUAAUGAAAUAGGACGUUCGACGUUGGUUUCUAGGAUCACCGUAAUGAUUAAUAGGGAUAGUUGGGGGCAUUAGUAUUCAAUUGUCAGAGGUGAAAUUCUUGGAUUUAUUGAAGACUAACUACUGCGAAAGCAUUUGCCAAGGAUGUUUUCAUUAAUCAAGAACGAAAGUUAGGGGAUCGAAGACGAUCAGAUACCGUCGUAGUCUUAACCAUAAACUAUGCCGACUAGGGAUCGGACGAAGUUAAUUUUAUAAUGACGCGUUCGGCGCCUUACGGGAAAC
This 541-nucleotide ribosomal RNA is filed under the name uncultured Glomus. Its description in RNAcentral is "SSU rRNA". It matches the Rfam family "Eukaryotic small subunit ribosomal RNA", at positions 548 to 1098 of the family's 1831-position model. The record is from RNAcentral. Lineage: Eukaryota; Fungi; Glomeromycota; Glomeromycetes; Glomerales; Glomeraceae.